Molecule: ribosomal RNA, 724 nt
Filed under: uncultured bacterium
Lineage: Bacteria
Description: bacterial SSU rRNA
Rfam family: Bacterial small subunit ribosomal RNA
Source: RNAcentral
GGAGGGGGAUAACUACUGGAAACGGUAGCUAAUACCGCAUAACGUCGCAAGACCAAAGAGGGGGACCUUCGGGCCUCUUGCCAUCGGAUGUGCCCAGAUGGGAUUAGCUUGUAGGUGAGGUAACGGCUCACCUAGGCGACGAUCCCUAGCUGGUCUGAGAGGAUGACCAGCCACACUGGAACUGAGACACGGUCCAGACUCCUACGGGAGGCAGCAGUGGGGAAUAUUGCACAAUGGGCGCAAGCCUGAUGCAGCCAUGCCGCGUGUAUGAAGAAGGCCUUCGGGUUGUAAAGUACUUUCAGCGGGGAGGAAGGGAGUGAGGUUAAUAACCUCAUUCAUUGACGUUACCCGCAGAAGAAGCACCGGCUAACUCCGUGCCAGCAGCCGCGGUAAUACGGAGGGUGCGAGCGUUAAUCGGAAUUACUGGGCGUAAAGCGCACGCAGGCGGUCUGUCAAGUCGGAUGUGAAAUCCCCGGGCUCAACCUGGGAACUGCAUUCGAAACUGGCAGGCUGGAGUCUUGUAGAGGGGGGUAGAAUUCCAGGUGUAGCGGUGAAAUGCGUAGAGAUCUGGAGGAAUACCGGUGGCGAAGGCGGCCCCCUGGACAAAGACUGACGCUCAGGUGCGAAAGCGUGGGGAGCAAACAGGAUUAGAUACCCUGGUAGUCCACGCUGUAAACGAUGUCGACUUGGAGGUUGUUCCCUUGAGGAGUGGCUUCCGGAGCUA